GCAGCAACGCCGCGUGUGCGAUGAAGGCCUUCGGGUUGUAAAGCACUUUUCGAGGGGAUGAGGAAGGACAGUACCCUCGGAAUAAGCCUCGGCUAACUACGUGCCAGCAGCCGCGGUAAAACGUAGGAGGCGAGCGUUAUCCGGAUUUACUGGGCGUAAAGCGUGUGCAGGCGGUUCGGCAAGUUGGAUGUGAAAGCUCCCGGCUUAACUGGGAGAGGUCGUUCAAAACUACCGGACUUGAGGAUGGGAGAGGGAGGUGGAAUUCCGGGUGUAGUGGUGAAAUGCGUAGAUAUCCGGAGGAACACCAGUGGCGAAGGCGGCCUCCUGGCCCAUUUCUGACGCUCAUACACGAAAGCUAGGGGAGCGAACGGGAUUAGAGACCCCGGUAGUCCUAGCUGUAAACGAUGUAGACUUGGCGUCGGUGGGUUCAAAUCCAUCGGUGCCGAAGCUAACGCGAUAAGUCUACCGCCUGGGGACUACGGCCGCAAG
This 489-nucleotide ribosomal RNA is filed under the name uncultured bacterium. RNAcentral's name for it is "bacterial SSU rRNA". It matches the Rfam family "Bacterial small subunit ribosomal RNA", at positions 388 to 892 of the family's 1533-position model. The record is from RNAcentral.